UGUAAGUCUUGACUCUACAGAACUUUUUGUAUCAUUGAUAAUGUUGCUCCUUAUCCUCAUGAUAUUUUCCCUUUGUAAGGGUAAUGUUGAUGCUGAAGUGAUAACAUCAUUCUUCACAAAGCAGCAUGUUUUAGCAGGAAGAGAUGUUACACUUUCCUGCAACUACAGUGGUAAUGUUCGCAGUCUGCAGUGGUACCGUCAGCAUCCCGGAUCCAAACCUGAAAAUAUAAUUUGUUACACUGAGAGCAGCAGUCAGUCAGAGCCCAAGCUUCGUCUGGAUGCUGUGGCUGAUAAAGGAAGCAAACUUAUGAAUCUGAGCAUAUCUUCUACACAAAUGGAUGGUUCUGCUCUGUACUAUUGUGCUCUGCAGCCCACAGUGACGGGAAACACAACUGCACUGUACAAAAACAGACGGUCAGGACACACACUGUAAUAAUUACCAAACAUUACUAACAUGUACAAUAAGGAAAAAUGAAAGAUAAUUAAGAGAGCUGGUAACUGCACAUCAACCAGUGUAAAGAUCUUUGAAACUUGUGGUUACAGUAGUUUAACACUGUAUAUUUUCCACAUAGCUUAUUGUCCAAAAGAAACAUUUAAUUUUUUUUUUUUUUUUUUUUUUUUUUUGUGAAAUCAUUAUAUAUGAUUAAACAGCAGCCAUACUUUAAAAUCUUCAUUUUAAUUAGAGAGUAUGCUAAAAUAUAUUCACAUACAGUCAGUAUUUGUAGGGGAAGAUGAAAAAGUAGGUUUGUGUGGGAGGAGCUCAAUGUUUUGUCCACUUUAGCAGAAGAAAUUGUUGAGACAACACUGACUUUCCUUCAUUGAGAAGUCUAAACACAAACUACAGAAACAUGUUACUCAUCUCUUCUGUUUUAAUUUUUAUCCUCAGUUACUGUAAGUACUGCUAGUCAUAUACAUUUACACCUUAUUUAUAUACAG
Cyprinus carpio (common carp) is the source of this 936-nucleotide non-coding RNA. Lineage: Eukaryota; Metazoa; Chordata; Actinopteri; Cypriniformes; Cyprinidae. The record is from the annotation of a RefSeq genome assembly.